GGCCCCGCCCCUGGGCGGCCCGGGUGGGCGCGCGCCGCAGCGGCAAGCCCACGCCUCUGCCAGUGCUCUCGUACGCUUCGGCCCUGACGCACGCGUUCGUUAUCUCACCGGGCCGCUAUCUCAUCUCUUCAUCUACCUCAAUCUGAUUGAACGUACUUUAGUGAUCGAGUCGUGUGUGCUUGGUGAUUUCUACAUAUUUUCAUAGCUGACAACUGAACUAUUCCUGUUGGGCGGACCCAUUCAUAUUUACAUUGGUUACAGAAAAUAAUGGUAAUUGCUUGACCUGAUUGGAGGCAGCAGAAUGUUCGGAGGCAACGGGGGAGGGUAUGCGGGCAGCGGCGACUGCGCCGAGGGCUACGGGCUGGGCUACGUGGCGGGCGGAGGCCGCCUCCAGCAAUACGCGCACUUCCCGCACCAGAACGUCUGGCAUCACCAUCACACUCCGCACCACGACACCUACGGCAGUAGCAGCGUUGGUGGCGUCGGGUCCAUGGCUGGUGGCCUGUACCCCCAGAACAUGGUGAUGGGCUCCUGGUGCGCCCCAUACGACGCACUGCAGCGCCCCCCUGCAUACGAUGGCGGUCUGGAAUCAUACGAAGAGGGUCGUGAGUGUGUUAACUGCGGCGCCAAUAACACCCCGCUGUGGCGCAGGGACUCCACGGGGCACUACCUGUGCAACGCAUGCGGCCUCUACCACAAGAUCAACGGCGUGAACCGGCCGCUCGUCAAGCCCAGCAAGCGGCUGUCAGCCGCGCGGCGCCACGGGCAGUGCUGCACCAACUGCGGGUCGCGCAACACCACGCUGUGGCGGCGCAACAACGAGGGUGAGCCCGUCUGCAACGCCUGCGGACUCUACUACAAGCUGCAUGGAAUUAAUCGGCCAUUAGCAAUGCGGAAGGACGGGAUUCAAACAAGGAAAAGGAAACCGAAAAAGUCUGCUAAUGGAGCUAAAUCCGCACAAGAAAGUUCCAAGAAAGAAGGACAAUGCUCACCCGGCGUUGAUGAAAGCAAGCCAAGCGUUUCAGAAGUGCCAUUGCCUUUAACGGCGUCUAUGUCUAGUCACGGGUCCCUCUCGAAAGCCCGCGCUGAGGCACACUCGUCGGAGACGUCCCCUCACGCGCACUCGCACAGCCAAGGGCACGGGCAUACGCAGUACCCCCUGGGUCUGCCCGCGGCUCCUGGCUUCCUCUCCAACCCUUCGAUCUUCAACAUUAAGAGUGAACCAAACGCCCCCAACGGCUACGACGGAUACGCGACCCACUCUGGCAGCCAUUACCACUCGCAACAGCACUACUUGCACGCAUUACAGUACGGCCUCGGCAACAGCGAAGAAGAGGAAGGCAGCGGGUUCCUCCACCAGCGCAACGUGACCGCGCACGCCAAGCUCAUGGCCUCCACGUAGCGCUCCCCGAGCCUGUCCACUGGACGACACUGACUAACUCAUAGCUACACUUGAAUACUAUGUCAUUUAGGUGAACCUUACGCAAGUGGGAAGUCGUGCGGAAUAACAAUGGCGUAGCCGUGGCACCGCGCGGGCAACGCAAUUUGAGACAAUAUCACCCCACCAAUGCAUUCCACAAAUUAGAUAAUCAACAAAUGCCAAGGAAUCUGUCUUAGUUCUAAGUCUAUAAUGUAAGUUAUGUAUAUAACAAAUAUUUGAAAUAUUUAUGAAUACUGAUUUACUAUUGGGUGAGACAAAAUAGUUUUGCCAUAUUCAAUUUAAACUCUGAUUUCUUACAUUUAACAUGUUACAAAACCAGCACAGUGUAUUUAAGUAUAGAUAUCGAUGUAGAGAGAGGUAGUUCACGUUAUACAUACCUACUUGUAAAAAUAGAUUAUAUUUGACUGACUAGACUACUGCUACUGCUUAUUCCACUAAAGUGCUGGUAAUAAAGUACAACACCAGAGGGCCUACUACAAACUUGGAAAAUGUGUAUUUUGAUCUAUGUCACCAAGAGAAAAAAAAUUGUAGCUAAAUGUAUGCGGUAUGCCCCUCCCCCUUCCCUUGGCAAUCGGCCAUAUCAAGCAGGACUUACAUGACUUUAAAGUGUGAUCCGAUAGUAAUUCCAAUGAAGAUAGAUAAUUGCUGUAAACAGAGUAGUAUUAUUUAUAGACUAAGUAAAAUAAAUGGCAUUUAUAAUUAUUGUACAUAGUUUAGUCAAAGAACAAUGUAAUGAUUUAGAAUUAGAUUGUACGAAAUUUUAUUUCAAUAUCAAGCAUAGACUUUGUCACAACAUUGGCAAUAUCACAGUAAUGUUAAGCUAAAUACUUAAUUCCACAACAGUAAACUACACAAUAUGUUAUGUUGUAUAUAUUACAUUACAAAAAUAUACCCAUAAUGUUUGAUCA
Molecule: RNA transcript, 2349 nt
Organism: Cydia fagiglandana
Lineage: Eukaryota; Metazoa; Arthropoda; Insecta; Lepidoptera; Tortricidae
Gene name: GATA-binding factor A-like
Exons: 9
Source: RefSeq, a predicted model, not a curated record